RNAcentral lists this ribosomal RNA (253 nucleotides) under uncultured bacterium. RNAcentral describes it as "partial 16S ribosomal RNA". It matches the Rfam family "Bacterial small subunit ribosomal RNA", at positions 524 to 776 of the family's 1533-position model. The record is from RNAcentral.
UACGAAGGGGGCUAGCGUUGCUCGGAAUUACUGGGCGUAAAGCGUGCGCAGGCGGUGAUGCAAGACAGAUGUGAAAUCCCCGGGCUUAACCUGGGAACUGCAUUUGUGACUGCAUUGCUGGAGUGCGGCAGAGGGGGAUGGAAUUCCGCGUGUAGCAGUGAAAUGCGUAGAUAUGCGGAGGAACACCGAUGGCGAAGGCAAUCCCCUGGGCCUGCACUGACGCUCAUGCACGAAAGCGUGGGGAGCAAACAGG